Molecule: ribosomal RNA, 469 nt
Filed under: uncultured Bacteroidota bacterium
Lineage: Bacteria; Pseudomonadati; Bacteroidota
Description: bacterial SSU rRNA
Rfam family: Bacterial small subunit ribosomal RNA
Source: RNAcentral
GUCGAACGGCAGCACAGGUAGCAAUACUGGGUGGCGAGUGGCGCACGGGUGCGUAACGCGUAUGCAAUCUGCCUCUAACAGGGGGAUAGCCCGAAGAAAUUCGGAUUAAUACCCCAUAAUAUAUUUAUCUCGCAUGAGAUUGGAUAUUAAAGUAACAACGGUUAGAGAUGAGCAUGCGUGACAUUAGCUAGUUGGUAAGGUAACGGCUUACCAAGGCAACGAUGUCUAGGGGGUCUGAGAGGAUUAUCCCCCACACUGGUACUGAGACACGGACCAGACUCCUACGGGAGGCAGCAGUGAGGAAUAUUGGUCAAUGGACGCAAGUCUGAACCAGCCAUGCCGCGUGCAGGAAGACGGCCCCACGGGUUGUAAACUGCUUUUAUAUAGGAAUAAACCCAUCUACGUGUAGAUGGCUGAAGGUACUAUAUGAAUAAGCACCGGCUAACUCCGUGCCAGCAGCCGCGGUAAU